UCAUAUUUCAAAUUUCAUUUAGAUAUAUGAUUCAUCAAAUACACAUUAUGUGAGAAAUAUUACCUUGCAAGAUUUGAAGACUGUUGAGAAAUGGCCUUGGAUUUCCAGAAGUAAUAACAUAACAAUUGUAUAUGAACAUCCUAUUAAAGACAACAGUCUCAUAGUGACAUAUUCAAAAGAACCAAAGGUACAAUACCACCAAAUUACAGCAACAAGUGAAAUUCGGACACUGUCCUUUACAAAAACAAUAUCUCAAUUUAAAGACAAAACCUAUGUAUGGUCAAUCAUAGGCAAACCAGACCGUAUUAUUCAUAUAACUGUAUUUGUGAAAAACACAAAAAGUAUGCAGGAUAACUUUCCUUACAUAAAGAUUUAUAACUUUGGGGAAAGUCAUAUGACACAUUCAUUAACAAUAGAUGACCUAUCAGAUGGAUCGUAUCAAGCUGCCUUUGCUUGUCAAAACUUAACAAUCACGUGCAAGCCAUAUCAAUGGAGCAAGAAUAUACAAUUUUUCGUCCACGAAGAAGAAAAAAUACAGUAUCAACAACUAGCUGCAUCAAGCAAAUUAACGACCUUGUCUUUGAAACGGAAUAAGUCUACGUUUGAAAAUACAACAUAUGUUUGGUCUAUUUCUACCGAAUUAGAUACUCUCAUAUACAUCAAAAUAUCCCUGAAUGAAAUGCUGACGGAUUAUCUUCCAAACAUUGAGAUUAAUAACUUUGACGACACAGCCUCUUCUACUUUAUUAUCAUCGGAUGAGAUAAUUGAUGGGGAAUACGAACAGGAAUUUGCCAGUAAAAACUUAACAAUUAGUUGUAAGCCCUAUCAGUGGUGCAAGAAUAUAACAAUAGAAGUCCAGAAAAGAGAAAAGGAAGUCAUAGAACAUAUAAAUGCAACUACAGAUAUAUCAGUGUUAUCUGUUGGAAAUAGUACAGCUGUAUACGAGAAUAAGACUCAUAAUUGGACUAUAUACGCUCAUCAAGAUCACAUUAUAUAUGUAGCUGUAACUCUAUUGAACUAUGAACAAAUGUAUGGAAAAAGCUUUCCGGAC
Long non-coding RNA from Mytilus californianus (California mussel), 1051 nucleotides. RefSeq lists it as uncharacterized. The record is from RefSeq and is a predicted model, not a curated record. Lineage: Eukaryota; Metazoa; Mollusca; Bivalvia; Mytilida; Mytilidae. The transcript has 6 exons.